UACGUAGGGUGCGAGCGUUGUCCGGAAUUAUUGGGCGUAAAGGGCUCGUAGGCGGUUUGUCGCGUCGGGAGUGAAAACCUCGGGCUUAACUCGGGGCUUGCUUUCGAUACGGGCAGACUGGAGGUAUGCAGGGGAGAACGGAAUUCCUGGUGUAGCGGUGAAAUGCGCAGAUAUCAGGAGGAACACCGGUGGCGAAGGCGACUUUCUGGACGGUUCCUGACGCUGAGGCGCGAAAGCUAGGGGAGCAAACAGG
RNAcentral lists this ribosomal RNA (253 nucleotides) under uncultured bacterium. RNAcentral describes it as "partial 16S ribosomal RNA". It matches the Rfam family "Bacterial small subunit ribosomal RNA", at positions 524 to 776 of the family's 1533-position model. The record is from RNAcentral.